This is a non-coding RNA of Paramuricea clavata, 165 nucleotides long. The record is from the annotation of a GenBank genome assembly. NCBI's taxonomy places the organism in Eukaryota, Metazoa, Cnidaria, Anthozoa, Malacalcyonacea, Plexauridae.
UACAGUUAUUUUUUUUUAAGGUUGUCCACGAGCAAAGCGUAAAAGUCGAACACGAGCGCAAAAGGCUGCUGGGAAUCGCUAAAAAUUGAAUGAAUUUUUAUAGCGAUUCCCAGCAGCUUUUCGCGCUCGUGUUCGACUUUUUCGCUUUGCUCGUGGACAACCUUA